UAGAGUUUGAUCCUGGCUCAGAUUGAACGCUGGCGGCAGGCCUAACACAUGCAAGUCGAGCGGCAGCGGGAAAGUAGCUUGCUACUUUUGCCGGCGAGCGGCGGACGGGUGAGUAAUGCCUGGGGAUCUGCCCAGUCGAGGGGGAUAACUACUGGAAACGGUAGCUAAUACCGCAUACGCCCUACGGGGAAAAGCAGGGGACCUUCGGGCCUUGCGCGAUUGGAUGAACCCAGGUGGGAUUAGCUAGUUGGAGAGGUAAUGGCUCACCGAGGCGACGAUCCCUAGCUGGUCUGAGAGGAUGAUCACCCACACUGGAACUGAGACACGGUCCAUACUCCUACGGGAGGCAGCAGUGGGGAAUAUUGCACAAUGGGGGAAACCCUGAUGCAGCCAUGCCGCGUGUGUGAAGAAGGCCUUCGGGUUGUAAAGCACUUUCAGCGAGGAGGAAAGGUUGGUAGCUAAUAACUGCCAGCUGUGACGUUACUCGCAGAAGAAGCACCGGCUAACUCCGUGCCAGCAGCCGCGGUGAUACGGAGGGUGCAAGCGUUAAUCGGAAUUACUGGGCGUAAAGCGCACGCAGGCGGUUGGAUAAGUUAGAUGUGAAAGCCCCGGGCUCAACCUGGGAAUUGCAUUUAAAACUGUCCAGCUAGAGUCUUGUAGAGGGGGGUAGAAUUCCAGGUGUAGCGGUGAAAUGCGUAGAGAUCUGGAGGAAUACCGGUGGCGAAGGCGGCCCCCUGGACAAAGACUGACGCUCAGGUGCGAAAGCGUGGGGAGCAAACAGGAUUAGAUACCCUGGUAGUCCACGCCGUAAACGAU
This 816-nucleotide ribosomal RNA is filed under the name uncultured bacterium. RNAcentral describes it as "bacterial SSU rRNA". It matches the Rfam family "Bacterial small subunit ribosomal RNA", at positions 1 to 810 of the family's 1533-position model. The record is from RNAcentral.